Molecule: ribosomal RNA, 963 nt
Filed under: Triticum aestivum (bread wheat)
Lineage: Eukaryota; Viridiplantae; Streptophyta; Magnoliopsida; Poales; Poaceae
Description: partial small subunit ribosomal RNA
Source: RNAcentral
ACAUCUCUUGCUCAACUUGUAUACAAUGAUCCAGCAGUGGAAAAUCAAUUUAACCUCAGGAUAUGGAUUUGGGUGUCUAACAUCUUUGAUGAAGUGAGACUCACAAGGGAGAUGUUAGAUUUUGUGUCCGAGGAAACACAUCAAGGGCUUUGCAGCUAUGCCAAGCUUCAGGAGGUCUUGAAGAAUAAUAUCAAAUCGAAGAGGGUUCUACUUGUUUUAGAUGAUGUCUGGGAUGAUAGAAAUGAUAGCCGAUGGGACCAGCUAUUGGCUCCUUUUGCGUCUGACAGUGCAAACAACAAUGUCAUAAUCAUGACAACUAGAAAACCAUAUAUUGCAAAAAGGAGAGGAACGGUUGAACCAAUUAAGUUAGGUGCAUUGGAAAAACAGGAUUUCUGGUUACUGUUUAAAGCAUGUGCAUUUGGUGAUGAGAACUACGAAGAGAAAGAAAGUCUAAGUGACAUAGCGCAUAAAAUGGCACAAAAAUUAAAGGGAAACCCAUUAGCAGCGCAAACUGCAGGAGCACUAUUAAGGGGACAUCUUACCGUUGAACAUUGGACUAACAAUCUGAAAAAUGAAUACUGGAAAUCCCAGAAACUAUGUAACGGCAUCAUGCCAGCUUUGAAGCUUUGCUAUGAUGAGCUGCCCUACCAUUUACAACAGUGUUUUUCAUAUUGUUCUAUAUUCCCAUAUAGUUAUCUGUUUCAUGCCGAGGAGUUAGUUCGUAUGUGGAUUUCACAGGGAUUUGUGAAGCCUGAUUAUUCAAGUAGGAGUUUGGUGGAAAUGGGAUGGUCCUAUCUAACUGACUUGGUGAACUUGGGCUUCUUUGAGCAGGUUGAGGAAAAUGAAGAAGUCUUCUCUUCAGGCAAACAGGCAUCCUAUGCCAUUAGAGAUCUUAUGCAUGAUUUUGCAAGGGUUGUUUCAAGAAUGGAGUGUGCAACAUUGGAUGGUAUAUGUUGCAAUGAA